This 320-nucleotide ribosomal RNA is filed under the name uncultured eukaryote. RNAcentral describes it as "partial 18S ribosomal RNA". It matches the Rfam family "Eukaryotic small subunit ribosomal RNA", at positions 1470 to 1796 of the family's 1831-position model. The record is from RNAcentral.
CCCCUAGAUGUUCUGGGCCGCACGCGCGCUACACUGAUCAGUUCAACAAGUCUUAACCUUGGCCGAUAGGUCUGGGUAAUCUUUGAACGCUGUUCGUGACUGGGAUAGACCUUUGCAAUUAUGGGUCUUCAACGAGGAAUUCCUAGUAAACGCAAGUCAUCAGCUUGCAUUGAUUACGUCCCUGCCCUUUGUACACACCGCCCGUCGCACCUACCGAUUGAAUGGUCCGGUGAAAUCUCGGGACGGCGGCUUGGUCGCUUGCGUCCGACUGCUGAAACUUGAUUAAACCAUAUCAUUUAGAGGAAGGUGAAGUCGUNACA